GGUCAAGCGAACAAGGGCGCAGGGCGAAUGCCUUGGCACUGGGAGCCGAUGAAAGACGUGAUAAGCUGCGAUAAGCUUCGGGGAGCUGCAAAUAAGCAUUGAUCCGGAGAUUUCUGAAUGAGGAAACUCACCUGGGUUCAUACUCAGGUACAAUGCACUGAAAUUCAAAAUAGGUGCAUUGAGGGAACCGCCUGAACUGAAACAUCUAAGUAGGGCGAGGAAGAGACAUCAAACGAGAUUCCGUAAGUAGUGGCGAGCGAACGCGGAAGAGGGCAAACCGAGAGUAGAAAUACUUUCGGGGUACGGACUGCUUUUAAGACUCAAUCUGUUAACCGAACGGCAUGGGAAGGCCGGUCAGAGAGUGUGAGAACCACGUAGGUGAAAACGGAGAGAGCUGCGCAGGAUCCAGAGUACGGCCAGACACGUGAAACCUGGUCGGAAUACGGGGGGACCACCCUCCAACCCUAAAUACUACCCAGUGACCGAUAGCGUAUAGUACUGUGAAGGAAAGGUGAAAAGCACCCCGGGAGGGGAGUGAAAAAGAACCUGAAACCCUGUGCCUACAAGCACCUAGAGCGCGUCAAAGCGUGAUAGGGUACUUUUUGUAGAACGGUCCGGCGAGCGAUUGUAUGCAGCAAGGUUAAGGACUUAAGGUCUGGAGCCGAAGCGAAAGCGAGUUUGAAAAGGGCGUUAAGUUGCAUAUAAUGGGCCCGAAACCGGGUGACCUACCCAUGGUCAGGUUGAAGUGGAAGUAAAAUUCCAUGGAGGACCGAACCGACCUCCGUUGAAAAGGCGGCGGAUGAACUGUGGGUAGCGGAGAAAUUCCAAUCGAACCCGGAGAUAGCUGGUUCUCCCCGAAAUAGUUUUAGGACUAGCCUCAAGUUAGAUACCUGGAGGUAAAGCACUGAAUAGCCUAGCGGCCGAGAGGUUAGCGAAGCUUAUCAAACUCAGAAUGCCAGAGUAUUGAUGCUUGGGAGUCAGACAGUGUCAGAUAAAUGUCAUUGUCAAAAGGGAAACAGCCCAGAUCUACAGCUAAGGUCCCAAAGUCAGGUUAAGUGGAAAACGAUGUGAAGAUACGCAGACAACCAGGAUGUUGGCUCAGAAGCAGCCACUCAUUCAAAGAGUGCGUAAUAGCUCACUGGUCGAGCGUCUUUGCGCGGAGAAUUUAACGGGGCUAAACCUGACACCGAAGCUUAGGCAAUACAGCAAUGUAUUGGGUAGGGGAGCGUUGUAUACGCGGAGAAACAGUAGCGCAAGCGGCUGUGGAGUGUAUAGAAGUGAGAAUGCCGGAAUGAGUAGCGCGAAUGCAGUGAGAAUCUGCAUGGCCGAAAGCCUCAGGUUUCUGGAGGAAGGUUCGUCCGCUCCAGGUUAGUCGGGAGCUAAGGUGAGGCCGAAAGGCGUAGCCGAUGCACAGACGGUAGAGAUUCCGUCACCACCAAAAGAGUUAAGCACAGGGACACAUAUGAAGUCUCAGAGCCGGGUGUUGGUUCCGGUAGAGAUCGAGGGAAAUUAGUACCGAAGUCUGAGAUGGAAGAUGGCGAGAAAAGCUGUGUGUAUUUCUGAGGUGCCCGUACCGCAAACCGACACAGGUAGGUAGGAAGAAGAUUCUAAGGCCAACGGGAGAAGGGUUGUUAAGGAACUCGGCAAAUUGACCCCGUAACUUCGGGAGAAGGGGUGCUCCAGAGAUGGAGCCGCAGAGAAUCGGCCCAAGCAACUGUUUACCAAAAACACAGGUUUGUGCUAAAUCGAAAGAUGACGUAUACGAGCUGACGCCUGCCCGGUGCUGGAAGGUUAAGAGGAGAUGUGCAAGCAUUGAAUCGAAGCCCCAGUGAACGGCGGCCGUAACUAUAACGGUCCUAAGGUAGCGAAAUUCCUUGUCAGGUAAGUUCUGACCCGCAUGAAAGGCGUAAUGAUUUGGGCACUGUCUCAACAGCCCGCCCGGCGAAAUUGUAGUACCGGUGAAGAUGCCGGUUACCCGCGACAAGACGGAAAGACCCCAUGGAGCUUUACUGUAGCCUAAUAUUGGGUUUCGAUGUUGCAUGCACAGGAUAGAUGGGACUCUUGGAAACCAAGGCUUUGGCUUUGGCGGAGAGGCCGUUGGGAUACCAUCCUUGCGAUAUUGGAAUUCUAACCUGCGGCUCUGAAUCGAGUCGGGGGACAUUGUUAGGUGGGCAGUUUGACUGGGGCGGUCGCCUCCUAAAGAGUAACGGAGGCGUUCAAAGGUUCGCUCAGCUUGAACGGAAAUCAAGCAAAAGAGUGCAAACGCAGAAGCGAGCCUAACUGCGAGACUGACGGGUCGAGCAGUAACGAAAGUUGGAGUUAGUGAUCCGGUGGUAUGUGAGUGGAAAUGCCAUCGCUCAACGGAUAAAAGUUACCCUGGGGAUAACAGGCUGAUCUCCCCCAAGAGUCCACAUCGACGGGGAGGUUUGGCACCUCGAUGUCGGCUCAUCGCAUCCUGGGGCUGUAUUCGGUCCCAAGGGUUUGGCUGUUCGCCAAUUAAAGCGGUACGCGAGCUGGGUUCAGAACGUCGUGAGACAGUUCGGUCCCUAUCUGUCGUGGGCGCAGGAUAUUUGAUGGGAGCUGUCCCUAGUACGAGAGGACCGGGACGGACGUACCUCUGGCGCACCAGUUGUUCCGCCAGGAGCAUAGCUGGGCAACUACGUACGGAUCGGAUAAACGCUGAAAGCAUCUAAGCGUGAAGCCGACCCAAAGAUAAGAUAUCCCACUGAUUGAAUCAGGUAAGAUCCCUUGUAGACUACGAGGUUGAUAGGCACGAUGUGUAAGUGGAGUGAUCCAUUCAGCAAGUGUGUACUAAUAGAUCGAGGGCUUGACCAC
Molecule: ribosomal RNA, 2835 nt
Filed under: Faecalibacterium duncaniae
Lineage: Bacteria; Bacillati; Bacillota; Clostridia; Eubacteriales; Oscillospiraceae
Description: 23S ribosomal RNA
Rfam family: Bacterial large subunit ribosomal RNA
Source: RNAcentral